This 87-nucleotide transfer RNA is filed under the name Ornithinimicrobium pekingense. RNAcentral describes it as "tRNA-Gly". Lineage: Bacteria; Bacillati; Actinomycetota; Actinomycetes; Micrococcales; Ornithinimicrobiaceae. The record is from RNAcentral.
GAGCCGGUAGUCCAGCGCCGACGGGGGCGCUGCCUCCGCCCUCGGGGUCGAGACCCAGAAGGCGCGCUCCGCGUCGUGCCCGGUCCC